RNAcentral lists this ribosomal RNA (253 nucleotides) under uncultured bacterium. RNAcentral's name for it is "partial 16S ribosomal RNA". It matches the Rfam family "Archaeal small subunit ribosomal RNA", at positions 474 to 727 of the family's 1478-position model. The record is from RNAcentral.
UACCAGCACCCCGAGUGGUCGGGACGUUUAUUGGGCCUAAAGCAUCCGUAGCCGGUUCUACAAGUCUUCCGUUAAAUCCACCUGCUUAACAGAUGGGCUGCGGAAGAUACUAUAGAGCUAGGAGGCGGGAGAGGCAAGCGGUACUCGAUGGGUAGGGGUAAAAUCCGUUGAUCCAUUGAAGACCACCAGUGGCGAAGGCGGCUUGCCAGAACGCGCUCGACGGUGAGGGAUGAAAGCUGGGGGAGCAUACCGG